CUACACGACCGUACCGCAAACCGACACUGGUGCGCGAGAUGAGUAUUCUAAGGCGCUUGAGAGAACUCAGGAGAAGGAACUCGGCAAAUUGACACCGUAACUUCGGAAGAAGGUGUGCCCUAUUAGUGUGAAGUGAACAACGGAGCAUGAAUGGGUUGCAAAAAAUCGGUGGCUGCGACUGUUUAUUAAAAACACAGCACUCUGCAAACACGAAAGUGGACGUAUAGGGUGUGACGCCUGCCCGGUGCUGGAAGAUUAAAUGAUGGGGUGCAAGCUCUUGAUUGAAGUCCCAGUAAACGGCGGCCGUAACAAUAACGGUCCUAAGGUAGCGAAAUUCCUUGUCGGGUAAGUUCCGACCUGCACGAAUGGCGUAACGAUGGCCACACUGUCUCCUCCUGAGACUCAGCGAAGUUGAAAUGUUUGUGAUGAUGCAAUCUCCCCGCGGAAAGACGGAAAGACCCCAUGAACCUUUACUGUAGCUUUGUAUUGGACUUUGAACAGAUCUGUGUAGGAUAGGUGGGAGGCUUUGAAGCCGGGACGCUAGUUUCGGUGGAGCCAACGUUGAAAUACCACCCUGGUGUGUUUGAGGUUCUAACCUAGGUCCAUUAUCUGGAUCGGGGACAGUGCAUGGUAGGCAGUUUGACUGGGGCGGUCUCCUCCCAAAGCGUAACGGAGGAGUUCGAAGGUACGCUAGUUACGGUCGGACAUCGUGACGAUAGUGCAAUGGCAUAAGCGUGCUUAACUGCGAGACUGACAAGUCGAGCAGAUGCGAAAGCAGGACAUAGUGAUCCGGUGGUUCUGUAUGGAAGGGCCAUCGCUCAACGGAUAAAAGGUACUCUGGGGAUAACAGGCUGAUACCGCCCAAGAGUUCAUAUCGACGGCGGUGUUUGGCACCUCGAUGUCGGCUCAUCUCAUCCUGGGGCUGUAGCCGGUCCCAAGGGUAUGGCUGUUCGCCAUUUAAAGAGGUACGUGAGCUGGGUUUAAAACGUCGUGAGACAGUUUGGUCCCUAUCUUCCGUGGGCGCUGCAGAUUUGAGGAAGCCUGCUCCUAGUACGAGAGGACCGGAGUGGACACACCUCUGGUGUAUCGGUUGUCACGCCAGUGGCAUUGCCGAGUAGCUAAGUGUGGAAGAGAUAACCGCUGAAAGCAUCUAAGCGGGAAACUCGUUUCAAGAUGAGAUCUGCCGGGGCCUUGAGCCCCCUGAAGAGUCGUUCAAGACCAGGACGUUGAUAGGUCAGGUGUGGAAGC
This 1248-nucleotide ribosomal RNA is filed under the name metagenome. Its description in RNAcentral is "bacterial LSU rRNA". It matches the Rfam family "Bacterial large subunit ribosomal RNA", at positions 1634 to 2874 of the family's 2925-position model. The record is from RNAcentral.